UAUCCUAGUGACAAAAUAACUUCACUAUCAUGGAUGAAAAAAAGCUCACCAGAGGGCCCCAUUCUUGGAUCUAAAAGAAGUAAUUAAUAUUGCAGGAUGCUCAUCAGAUCUGAAAAAAUACUGAGUUAGUGCCAGCUGUACCUAAAAAGAUGCACAAAAGAAGAUAAAUGCAUGUGUCCUGAACAAUUGAUGUGUAAUUUACCAUACAGGCUGGUUGCAUUCGUAGAUGGAAAAUGGAAACACUGAAGUGCAAA
This is a long non-coding RNA of Pseudopipra pipra, 254 nucleotides long. RefSeq lists it as uncharacterized. Lineage: Eukaryota; Metazoa; Chordata; Aves; Passeriformes; Pipridae. The record is from RefSeq and is a predicted model, not a curated record. The transcript has 3 exons.